CCCUUAGAUGUCCUGGGCUGCACGCGCGCUACACUGGAAGUUACGGAUUGAGAUACUACCUUGUCCGAAAUGGUCCGGGUAAUCACCUAAAAGCUUGUCAUAAUUGGAAUGGAUUAUUGUAACUAGUAAUCCUGAACGAGGAAUUCCUAGUAAGUCCCAGUCAACAGCUGGUACUGAUUACGUCCCUGCCCUUUGUACACACCGCCCGUCGCUACUACUGAUUGGACGUUUAAGCAAGAUUUUUAAACACUGACAGUGUGUAGUUCACGCUAUACUACAGUGAGAAGAAGAAGAUCGAGCUUACUUGUCUAGAGGAAGUGAAAGUCGUAACA
This 332-nucleotide ribosomal RNA is filed under the name uncultured eukaryote. RNAcentral's name for it is "partial 18S ribosomal RNA". It matches the Rfam family "Eukaryotic small subunit ribosomal RNA", at positions 1470 to 1796 of the family's 1831-position model. The record is from RNAcentral.